RNAcentral lists this non-coding RNA (405 nucleotides) under Salmo salar (Atlantic salmon). RNAcentral describes it as "Eukaryotic small subunit ribosomal RNA". It matches the Rfam family "Eukaryotic small subunit ribosomal RNA", at positions 1178 to 1603 of the family's 1831-position model. Lineage: Eukaryota; Metazoa; Chordata; Actinopteri; Salmoniformes; Salmonidae. The record is from Rfam by way of RNAcentral.
GGAGCCUGCGGCUUAAUUUGACUCAACACGGGAAACCUCACCCGGCCCGGACACGGAAAGGAUUGACAGAUUGAUAGCUCUUUCUCGAUUCUGUGGGUGGUGGUGCAUGGCCGUUCUUAGUUGGUGGAGCGAUUUGUCUGGUUAAUUCCGAUAACGAACGAGACUCCGGCAUGCUAACUAGUUAUGCGGCCCCGAGCGGUCGGCGUCCAACUUCUUAGAGGGACAAGUGGCGUUCAGCCACACGAGAUUGAGCAAUAACAGGUCUGUGAUGCCCUUAGAUGUCCGGGGCUGCACGCGCGCCACACUGAGCGGAUCAGCGUGUGUCUACCCUUCGCCGAGAGGCGUGGGUAACCCGCUGAACCCCACUCGUGAUAGGGAUUGGGGAUUGCAAUAUUNNNNNNNNNN